CAGUUAGAAAUGACUGCUAAUACUCCAUACUCCUUUUUACCAUAAGAUAAAUCGGGAAAGAAUUUCGGCAAGGGAUGAGACUAUAUCGUAUCAGCUAGUCGGUGGGGUAACGGCCUACCGAGGCUAUGACGCGUAACUGGUCUGAGAGGAUGAUCAGUCACAUUGGAACUGAGACACGGUCCAAACUCCUACGGGAGGCAGCAGUAGGGAAUAUUGCGCAAUGGGGGAAACCCUGACGCAGCAACGCCGCGUGGAGGAUGACACUUUUCGGAGCGUAAACUCCUUUUGUUAGGGAAGAAUAAUGACGGUACCUAACGAAUAAGCACCGGCUAA
Molecule: ribosomal RNA, 333 nt
Filed under: Campylobacter gracilis
Lineage: Bacteria; Pseudomonadati; Campylobacterota; Epsilonproteobacteria; Campylobacterales; Campylobacteraceae
Description: bacterial SSU rRNA
Rfam family: Bacterial small subunit ribosomal RNA
Source: RNAcentral